GGAAUAUUGGUCAAUGGGCGAGAGCCUGAACCAGCCAUGCCGCGUGCAGGAAGACGGCCUUCUGGGUUGUAAACUGCUUUUCUACAGGACGAACAAGACUAUGCGUAGUCAAUUGCCGGUAUUGUAGGAAUCAGCACCGGCUAACUCCUGGCCCGCAGCCGCGGUAAUACGGAGGGUGCAAGCGUUGUCCGGAUUUAUUGGGUUUAAAGGGUGCGUAGGCGGACCUUUAAGUCCGUGGUGAAAGCCCGCAGCUUAACUGUGGAAUUGCCAUGGAUACUGGAGGUCUUGAAUUCAGUUGAGGUAGGCGGAAUUGAUGGUGUAGCGGUGAAAUGCAUAGAUACCAUCAGGAACACCGAUUGCGAAGGCAGCUUACUGGGCUUGAAUUGACGCUGAGGCACGAAAGCGUGGGGAGCG
This 414-nucleotide ribosomal RNA is filed under the name uncultured bacterium. RNAcentral's name for it is "bacterial SSU rRNA". It matches the Rfam family "Bacterial small subunit ribosomal RNA", at positions 358 to 770 of the family's 1533-position model. The record is from RNAcentral.